UGGGGAAUUUUGGACAAUGGGGGAAACCCUGAUCCAGCCAUCCCGCGUGUGCGAUGAAGGCCUUCGGGUUGUAAAGCACUUUUGGCAGGAAAGAAACGUCAUGGGUUAAUACCCCGUGAAACUGACGGUACCUGCAGAAUAAGCACCGGCUAACUACGUGCCAGCAGCCGCGGUAAUACGUAGGGUGCAAGCGUUAAUCGGAAUUACUGGGCGUAAAGCGUGCGCAGGCGGUUCGGAAAGAAAGAUGUGAAAUCCCAGAGCUCAACCUUGGAACUGCAUUUUUAACUACCGGGCUAGAGUGUGUCAGAGGGAGGUGGAAUUCCGCGUGAAGCAGUGAAAUGCGUAGAUAUGCGGAGGAACACCGAUGGCGAAGGCAGCCUCCUGGGAUAACACUGACGCUCAUGCACGAAAGCGUGGGGAGCAAACAGG
Molecule: ribosomal RNA, 429 nt
Filed under: Acidobacteriota bacterium
Lineage: Bacteria; Pseudomonadati; Acidobacteriota
Description: Acidobacteria bacterium partial 16S ribosomal RNA
Rfam family: Bacterial small subunit ribosomal RNA
Source: RNAcentral